This is a long non-coding RNA of Schistocerca serialis cubense, 512 nucleotides long. RefSeq lists it as uncharacterized. The transcript is spliced from 3 exons. The record is from RefSeq and is a predicted model, not a curated record. Lineage: Eukaryota; Metazoa; Arthropoda; Insecta; Orthoptera; Acrididae.
UUAGCAUCCUCCUAGAGGGAGAGAGUGGCCAAUUGUGAUAGUGUCGCUGAUUGGCUGAGAGCCGAGGACGCCAUGUUUUUACCAAACUGACGAUGACUUGGUACGAGUAUAAAUAGAUACUGUGUGUGAUUCUGUAUUACUGGUUCUUUUCAACGCUUCGAACGCAAAUUCCAUUGUUGUAUUACGGACAGUCAAGAGGAAUGCCUGGUUGCUCCGCUGUUGGGUGCAAAAACCGAAGUGAAGAUGGAUAUAUGAUGCUCGUUUUUCCAAGAAAUGCAGAAAGACGUAAACAGUGGGCAGUGAAAGUCAACCGAGAAGGUGGGAAUCGUAAAGGCGACUUAUGGAAACCAACAAAUUAUUCCUUUCUGUGUGAAGUCCUCCAGUACUCGUCGUUGAGGUUCAGGGGUGUACUGGAAACGUGCUCGAAAAUGCUCCACCCGCCUGUGUUGUGGAGAUCCAGGAACUGAUGUACUCUCUGACAAUCUUCUAGGAGGUGGCUGAGGAGGUGAUGG